CCCUUAGAGUUUGAUCCUGGCUCAGGAUGAACGCUAGCGGCAGGCCUAAUACAUGCAAGUCGAACGGUAAAUAGUUCAGCAAUGGACUAUGAGAGUGACGCACGGGUGCGUAACACGUAUGCAACCUACCCUUUACAGGAGUAUAGCUCGGGGAAACUCGAAUUAACCCUUCAUAGUAUAAUUGAAUGGCAUCAUUUGGUUAUUAAAUCUGCGGAGGUAAAGGAUGGGCAUGCGUCUGAUUAGCUAGUUGGUAGUGUAACGGACUACCAAGGCGAUGAUCAGUAGGGGAACUGAGAGGUUGAUCCCCCACACUGGCACUGAGAUACGGGCCAGACUCCUACGGGAGGCAGCAGUAGGGAAUAUUGGUCAAUGGGUGAGAGCCUGAACCAGCCAUGCCGCGUGCAGGAAGACGGCCUUCUGGGUUGUAAACUGCUUUUGUCAGGGGAUAAAAUUUCCUUGCGAGGAAAAUUGAAGGUACCUGACGAAUAAGCCACGGCUAACUACGUGCCAGCAGCCGCGGUAAUACGUAGGUGGCGAGCGUUGUCCGGAUUUAUUGGGUUUAAAGGGUGCGUAGGCGGCCUAUUAAGUCAGUGCUGAAAUAUUCCGGCUUAACCGGGAGGGUGGCAUUGAUACUGAUGGGCUAGAGUACAGAUGAGGUAGGCGGAAUUGACGGUGUAGCGGUGAAAUGCUUAGAUAUCGUCAAGAACACCUAUAGCGAAGGCAGCUUACUAGGCUGAAACUGACGCUGAGCAC
Molecule: ribosomal RNA, 753 nt
Filed under: uncultured bacterium
Lineage: Bacteria
Description: bacterial SSU rRNA
Rfam family: Bacterial small subunit ribosomal RNA
Source: RNAcentral